AUUGAACGCUGGCGGCAGGCUUAACACAUGCAAGUCGAGCGGAGCGAGGGUGCUUGCACCUUAGCUUAGCGGCGGACGGGUGAGUAAUGCUUAGGAAUCUGCCUAUUAGUGGGGGACAACAUUCCGAAAGGGAUGCUAAUACCGCAUACGCCCUACGGGGGAAAGCAGGGGAUCUUCGGACCUUGCGCUAAUAGAUGAGCCUAAGUCGGAUUAGCUAGUUGGUGGGGUAAAGGCCUACCAAGGCGACGAUCUGUAGCGGGUCUGAGAGGAUGAUCCGCCACACUGGGACUGAGACACGGCCCAGACUCCUACGGGAGGCAGCAGUGGGGAAUAUUGGACAAUGGGCGGAAGCCUGAUCCAGCCAUGCCGCGUGUGUGAAGAAGGCCUUUUGGUUGUAAAGCACUUUAAGCGAGGAGGAGGCUACUAGUAUUAAUACUACUGGAUAGUGGACGUUACUCGCAGGAUAAGCACCGGCUAACUCUGUGCCAGCAGCCGCCGUAA
This 501-nucleotide ribosomal RNA is filed under the name uncultured bacterium. RNAcentral's name for it is "partial 16S ribosomal RNA". It matches the Rfam family "Bacterial small subunit ribosomal RNA", at positions 30 to 523 of the family's 1533-position model. The record is from RNAcentral.